CCUACGGGUGGCAGCAGUGGGGAAUAUUGCACAAUGGGGGAAACCCUGAUGCAGCGACGCCGCGUGAAGGAAGAAGUAUUUCGGUAUGUAAACUUCUAUCAGCAGGGAAGAAAAUGACGGUACCUGACUAAGAAGCCCCGGCUAACUACGUGCCAGCAGCCGCGGUAAUAAGUAGGGGGCAAGCGUUAUCCGGAUUUACUGGGUGUAAAGGGGGCGUAGGAGGCGAUGCAAGUCAGAAGUGAAAGCCCGGGGCUCAACUCCGGGACUGCUUUUGAAACUGGAUGGCUAGAUUGAAGGAGAGGCAAGUGGAAUUUCUAGUGUAGCGGUGAAAUGCGUAGAUAUUAGGAGGAACACCAGUGGCGAAGGCGGCUUGCUGGACUGUAAAUGACGCUGAGGCUCGAAAGCGUGGGGAGCAAACAGGAUUAGAUACCCGGGUAGUC
RNAcentral lists this ribosomal RNA (440 nucleotides) under uncultured bacterium. Its description in RNAcentral is "partial 16S ribosomal RNA". It matches the Rfam family "Bacterial small subunit ribosomal RNA", at positions 338 to 795 of the family's 1533-position model. The record is from RNAcentral.